GUACGAGCUCGAUCUUCGGAACGGGUUAGUGGCGCACGGGUGAGUAACACGUAGGUGACCUACCCCAGAGUGGGGGAUAACUUCUCGAAAGAGAGGCUAAUACCGCAUACACUCGGUCAUUCAUUUGGCCGAGCAAAGCUCCGGCGCUUUGGGACGGGCCUGCGUCCGAUUAGCUAGUUGGUAGGGUAAUGGCUUACCAAGGCUUUGAUCGGUAGCUGGUCUGAGAGGACGAUCAGCCACACUGGCACUGACACACGGGCCAGACUCCUACGGGAGGCAGCAGUGAGGAAUAUUGGGCAAUGGGCGAAAGCCUGACCCAGCAACGCCGCGUGAGGGAUGAAGGCCUUCGGGUUGUAAACCUCUUUUCUGGGAGAAGAGACAAGGACGGUAUCCCAGGAAUAAGUCUCGGCUAACUACGUGCCAGCAGCCGCGGUAAUACGUAGGAGGCAAGCGUUAUCCGGAUUCACUGGGCGUAAAGCGCACGCAGGCGGUUAUGUAAGUCGGACGUGAAAGCUCCUGGCUCAACUGGGAGAGGUCGUUCGAUACUGCAUGACUUGAGGUUGGGAGAGGGAAGCGGAAUUCCCGGUGUAGUGGUGGAAUGCGUAGAUAUCGGGAGGAACACCAGUGGCGAAAGCGGCUUCCUGGCCCAUACCUGACGCUCAGGUGCGAAAGCGUGGGGAGCGAACGGGAUUAGAUACCCCGGUAGUCCACGCUGUAAACGGUGCGAACUAGGUGUUGGUAGUAUUAAUCCUAUCAGUGCCGUAGCUAACGCGAUAAGUUCGCCGCCUGGGGACUACGGCCGCAAGGCUAAAACUCAAAGGAAUUGACGGGGGCCCGCACAAGCAGCGGAGCGUGUGGUUUAAUUCGAUGCAACACGAAGAA
Molecule: ribosomal RNA, 882 nt
Filed under: uncultured bacterium
Lineage: Bacteria
Description: bacterial SSU rRNA
Rfam family: Bacterial small subunit ribosomal RNA
Source: RNAcentral